GGGCGCGUGGCUCAGUGGUAGAGCGCUGCAUUCACACUGCAGAGGUCAUUGGUUCGAUCCCAAUCGUGCCCA
RNAcentral lists this transfer RNA (72 nucleotides) under Betaproteobacteria bacterium. RNAcentral describes it as "tRNA-Val". It matches the Rfam family "tRNA". From Rfam's summary of the family: Transfer RNA (tRNA) molecules are approximately 80 nucleotides in length. Their secondary structure includes four short double-helical elements and three loops (D, anti-codon, and T loops). Further hydrogen bonds mediate the characteristic L-shaped molecular structure. tRNAs have two regions of fundamental functional importance: the anti-codon, which is responsible for specific mRNA codon recognition, and the 3' end, to which the tRNAs corresponding amino acid is attached (by aminoacyl-tRNA synthetases). tRNAs cope with the degeneracy of the genetic code in two manners: having more than one tRNA (with a specific anti-codon) for a particular amino acid; and 'wobble' base-pairing, i.e. permitting non-standard base-pairing at the 3rd anti-codon position. Lineage: Bacteria; Pseudomonadati; Pseudomonadota; Betaproteobacteria. The record is from RNAcentral.